UGAAUGAAUUUGAAGGAGGUAAAUUGGAAAGAAAAGAAAUGUAUUUGAUAGGAGAGAAUGGUUUGUGGUGAAUGAAGGGAGGUUUUGAUGGGUAUUUAUAGGAAAAGAAUUUGGAAGUUGGAAAAAGAAGUGGUUGAAAAGUAAAUAAAUGUGGGUAAAUGUGAAUAAAUGGGGAAGAUAAAAAAAAUUGAAGGGUGUAACGUUCGUCUCCAACGGCUAUGUAACGUUCACCUAGUCAGAAAGGUGUUACGCUCGUCACAGGGGUGUGACGGUCGUAACAGGCUCUUGGCGUGCCGUCCGUCAUAGAUUGUGUGACGCUCGUCACACAUUCCUUUUGGCAAGGCUUCAGUAGCGUUCUACAGAAUUACUUUGGUAAUUAAUUUAUCUUGCAUGCUAUUCUACUUUGCAUAAUAUUGCAUGAAUAAUUCAAUAGGUUAUGGGCAGCAACAGUAGAGAAUAUAAUAGCUAUUGCAUAAUAAAAUUAAAUAAAUAGCUUCAAUAAAAUGAUCAUAAUGUAAUAUUGGAAAGAAGAACAAAAGAAAUGCGAAAAGGAAACAAAUGCG
RNAcentral lists this long non-coding RNA (563 nucleotides) under Lathyrus oleraceus (garden pea). Its description in RNAcentral is "Pisum sativum (pea) long non-coding RNA (PSAT_LNC034724)". The record is from RNAcentral. Lineage: Eukaryota; Viridiplantae; Streptophyta; Magnoliopsida; Fabales; Fabaceae.